GGCAGGCCUAACACAUGCAAGUCGAGCGGUAACAGGAAUUAGCUUGCUAAUUCGCUGACGAGCGGCGGACGGGUGAGUAAUGCCUGGGAAUAUGCCUUAGUGUGGGGGAUAACUAUUGGAAACGAUAGCUAAUACCGCAUAAUGUCCUUGUUCAUUACGAGCGGGACCAAAGAGGGGGACCUUCGGGCCUCUCGCGCUAAGAUUAGCCCAGGUGGGAUUAGCUAGUUGGUGAGGUAAAGGCUCACCAAGGCAACGAUCCCUAGCUGGUCUGAGAGGAUGAUCAGCCACACUGGAACUGAGACACGGUCCAGACUCCUACGGGAGGCAGCAGUGGGGAAUAUUGCACAAUGGGGGGAACCCUGAUGUAGCCAUGCCGCGUGUAUGAAGAAGGCCUUCGGGUUGUAAAGUACUUUCAGUCGUGAGGAAGGGUGUGUAGUUAAUAGCUGCAUGCCUUGACGUUAGCGACAGAAGAAGCACCGGCUAACUCCGUG
RNAcentral lists this ribosomal RNA (491 nucleotides) under uncultured bacterium. RNAcentral's name for it is "bacterial SSU rRNA". It matches the Rfam family "Bacterial small subunit ribosomal RNA", at positions 41 to 507 of the family's 1533-position model. The record is from RNAcentral.